AUGCCCAUGUCUGGCAGUCAGACACAAUCUAGCGACUAUGAGCUUCUUGCCAGCCAACCCGAUGCUCAAUGCCUAGUUUGCACGAGACCUUUUACUUUGGAUACUGAGGUGACCAAUAGCUUUGAAGCUUUAGCUAUAUGCAGGGAAUGCAAGGCUACUGUGCUUAAUGAUAGUCAAAGAGAUGUAACAACCAGCACUAGUCAGCAAAGACGACAAAGAAGGCGGAGAUCUAGGACUGCAAGUCUUGAAUCUAAUGAGGAUGCAUUCUCACAGCAGUUUUCCCAACUGAUCAACUUAGCUAGACAGGGCCAUGAAGCAGAUAUUGAUUCUCCGACCGUUGUGCGACAGCUGGCAUCUUAUAAUUCUACACCGAACCAGUCCCAAAGGUGGCAUGCUUCAGAUGAUGAGAGUGACGGUCUCAGUUAUGCUGAUUCUGUGUUUGACGAGCUUGAAUCAAACAUCAGUUUUGGGGACUAUGGCGGGGAGUCAGAUGCUUCUCUAGGUCAACAUAGCAUGAUGGGAAGGGAGAUUACCAUUCAACUUGACAACGAGAGUUACAUGAAUACCGAUACAGAUAUUGAUCCCAUGAAUGCUGGAAUGGACCUGUGGGAUUCAGAUGACCAAGAGGAUGAAGAUGUGCAGUUGGAAGAAUCUGAUUUUGAUGAAGCAGUUGAUGCCAUGCAGCAGCACCAGCAGCAAUCACGUGGCAUUGGCCCCAGUGAAUUGACUGGGUGGGAGUCUGAAGAUGGGGUAUGGACUUGGAGAAGUCAAAGAGCAAAUAUGACCAACUUGAUGGCAGACAUGGAAGGGCCAGAUGUCAGGACACCUUUUGUUGGGAAUCCUGGUGAUUAUGCUGAUGCAAGACAGUUUGAGAUGAUUCUUGAACAAUUUGCUGAGGACGACAGUUCCAGAAGAGGAGCUCCACCUGCAGCGACCUCUUUCAUUGGAAAUCUUCCCUCUCUGGUUAUCUCCACAAGCCAUGAGGCAGAUGGCGCUGUGAUCUGUCCAGUCUGCAAAGACCCGAUGCCUCUCAGAACUAGAGCAAAACAGCUACCAUGCAUGCAUCUAUAUCAUUCGUCAUGCAUCUUGCCGUGGCUUAGUUCCAGGAAUACAUGCCCAGUUUGCCGAUAUGAACUUCCUACAGAUGAUCCAGAAUCCGAGAGGUCCGAGCGAGCUGCAACAAAUGAAAGAGAUGUCCUUGGGGUGGAGGAACACACCCAUCUGCAGGAAAUUGGUGAAGAAGGUUCUGAUGAACCUGGGGCUGAAGAAACUCAGGACAUGUUUAAUGAUGCAGUGGAAGUGACUAAUACAAGUGAACAUGGUGUUCAUGUUGCUGAGCAGUCAAACAGAGCAUGUGCCCACCGUCGAUGGCUGUUUAUUGCAGUUGCCCCAGCAGUAAGCUUUGUCGGUUUAGCUCUGGUUUUGUGCUUUGCAAAUCCUACUAGUAGUGGUAGAAGGCGACUGUGUCGUGGAUCCCAGAGUGCCUCUGCAGCACUUGUAGACACAAAAAGAAGUUGGUGGUCCAUGUUCUAG
This 1533-nucleotide ribosomal RNA is filed under the name Triticum aestivum (bread wheat). RNAcentral describes it as "partial small subunit ribosomal RNA". Lineage: Eukaryota; Viridiplantae; Streptophyta; Magnoliopsida; Poales; Poaceae. The record is from RNAcentral.